Molecule: long non-coding RNA, 1276 nt
Organism: Labeo rohita (rohu)
Lineage: Eukaryota; Metazoa; Chordata; Actinopteri; Cypriniformes; Cyprinidae
Exons: 4
Source: RefSeq, a predicted model, not a curated record
UUCCACUAGCUGAUGAGGCGGGGCACACAUCAGCUGUUUCACCACCAUAGUGUGUCGAAACCAGUCUUCAAGAUAAUGAACACUGUCCUGUUACAGACCUGAUGGACACUUGUACAGCAAACAUCAAUGGCAUUGCUGAAGUGUAAGGUUGAUAGCAAGAAACACAAGGAAACAAACACAGAAAAAAAGCAAUAUGGCGAUCAGAGGAAAAGGAUCCCGUUCCUCCAUACUACAGGAGGACCAGUCUAAUAUACUGCCAAAACAGGAGAGCAUUGAUAAAAAGCCAAAUUUUUCUCAUGGUUCUGGUGCUCCAGAACAGUGUCAACCUGACGUAUCUGAAAAGGCCCAUGAUAAGAAAAUGAGAACAUGACUACAGUAACAUCUUCAGCCUGCUCUACCACCUCCACCCAGUGGAGGAAUAUGGAACUACCUACAAAAUUUUUUUUAUUCUCAUCUUAUGUUUAUUGUCUGUGUAUUGUUGCUGUCUCUGUGUACUGGAAGCUAAUGACACUAAAAGAAAAUUCCUAGUAUGUACAAGCAUACUUGGCAAUAAAAUCUCUUUCUGAUUCUGAUUCUGAUACCUGAAAGUUUAUGAAUUUAUUCGCUGAUUAAAAACACUACAAUAUGACUUUAACUCUAACUCUAACUCAUGUUGUAAGAUGCCUCCAGAGUGACAUUAACCCAAAAGCCAUUCACUGUGGAUUCACUGUCCAAUUUUCCUUCUCCUUACAGACACUCAGAUAUAAUGCAAUAGGAGAGGAGCAGCUGAAGGAACUUUGAGAAGGACCAAGACCUUUGAGGAGUUAUCUUUGCAUUGACGCUACACACUAAAUACUUGUCACACAAUGAUUGCUUUUACAAAACACAGGAUUUUACAUGCGUGUUUGAGAUGAAGCCCAUGAAUCAGCUGUCUGAAACACAAGAGAGGAUGAUGCUACAGAUUUACAACUUAUCUAAACACAUCACAGAAGACUGAUCAGGAAUUACAAAAAAUCUCUCAACAGGUGCACUACUGAACUCUACCGGGCAAUAUACUGUGAAUAAUUUGAACAAAUGUGAUGAUUUGUAGUUUUAUAUGAAUUUUUAUGUGUAACCUGAGUUACAUAAUCAGAUUACAAAAAUCAGUAACAGUUAUAUUUGAACUGCUUUAUCGGCAUGCGCUGUAGUCUUUUUGACACGAUCGACCCGGGUUUGAAUCCGCUAUUUGCAGAACAUUUUUUUUUCUCUCUUUAAAUCUCAUAUCACAUCAAAACAGCACUUGUUUUCAAUAUGGUUA